RNAcentral lists this transfer RNA (45 nucleotides) under Odocoileus virginianus (white-tailed deer). RNAcentral's name for it is "partial tRNA-Phe". The record is from RNAcentral. Lineage: Eukaryota; Metazoa; Chordata; Mammalia; Artiodactyla; Cervidae.
GUUAAUGUAGCUUAAACAAUAAAGCAAGGCACUGAAAAUGCCUAG